Molecule: ribosomal RNA, 399 nt
Filed under: uncultured bacterium
Lineage: Bacteria
Description: bacterial SSU rRNA
Rfam family: Bacterial small subunit ribosomal RNA
Source: RNAcentral
AAUGAACGCUGGCGGCAUGCCUAACACAUGCAAGUCGAACGAGACCUUCGGGUCUAGUGGCGCACGGGUGCGUAACGCGUGGGAAUCUGCCCUUGGGUUCGGAAUAACAGUGGGAAACUACUGCUAAUACCGAAUGAUGUCGUAAGACCAAAGAUUUAUCGCCCAGGGAUGAGCCCGCGUAGGAUUAGCUAGUUGGUGUGGUAAAAGCGCACCAAGGCGACGAUCCUUAGCNGGUCUGAGAGGAUGAUCAGCCACACUGGGACUGAGACACGGCCCAGACUCCUACGGGAGGCAGCAGUGGGGAAUAUUGGACAAUGGGCGAAAGCCUGAUCCAGCAAUGCCGCGUGAGUGAUGAAGGCCUUAGGGUUGUAAAGCUCUUUUACCCGGGAUGAUAAUGAC